UGUAAUGUUGGGUAGUCCGCAACGAGCGCACCUUAUCCUUGUUUGCCAGCACUUCGGGUGGGAACUCCAGGAGACUGCCGGUGAUAAACCGGAGGAAGGUGGGGACGACGUCAAGUCAUCAUGGCCCUUACGAGUAGGGCUACACACGUGCUACAAUGGCAUAUACAGAGGGCUGCCAACUCGCGAGAGUGAGCGAAUCCCAUAAAGUAUGUCGUAGUCCGGGUUGGAGUCUGCAACUCGACUCCAUGAAGUCGGAAUCGCUAGUAAUCGUGGAUCAGAAUGCCACGGUGAAUACGUUCCCGGGCCUUGUACACACCGCCCGUCACACCAUGGGAGUGGGCUGCACCAGAAGUAGAUAGCUUAACCUUCGGGAGGGCGUUUACCACGGUGUGGUUCAUGACUGGGGUGAAGUCGUAACAAGGUAGCCCUAGGGGAACCUGGGGCUGGAUCACCUCCUU
Molecule: ribosomal RNA, 458 nt
Filed under: uncultured Alteromonadales bacterium
Lineage: Bacteria; Pseudomonadati; Pseudomonadota; Gammaproteobacteria; Alteromonadales
Description: bacterial SSU rRNA
Rfam family: Bacterial small subunit ribosomal RNA
Source: RNAcentral